Non-coding RNA from Coffea arabica (coffee), 3255 nucleotides. The record is from RefSeq and is a predicted model, not a curated record. NCBI's taxonomy places the organism in Eukaryota, Viridiplantae, Streptophyta, Magnoliopsida, Gentianales, Rubiaceae.
UCCCUCUCUCUUUAUCCUCUUCACUUCACCGAAUGUACUACUCUGUAUCAAGCUCGCAGUACCAAAUCCAUCCGUGAACUAGAGUUUUCAAUUGUCUUCCAUAACCAAUCAGUGCAAGCACUUUCAAUUUGGGUAACUUUGUUGAGCUCGCACCACCAACAUCCUAAUUCGGCUGAUGCAUUGGCUUGGUGGCAAUAAAUUAGAAAUUAGGGCUUGAAAGUUUUUAACAAAAGCAGAGCAGAUGGGAUUCUGGGACUUGAUCAACUCAACAACUGAAGCCGUGAAGCGAAACGCACCCGCUCCAACGGCCAUCAUAGAUCCAUGCAAAGCCUCCUAUGGUUAUAGCUCUGCCGUCAUUGGCAACAUCGAUAACGCCGUCAAAGUCAACGGGAUGCAGGCGCUCAAUGACUACAUGCCCAGCAAGGAACCCGGUCAAGGAUCAGCCUUUUCGCUUCCAAGUUCACCCAAAAUGCUGCUCGUCAUGCUCUCCGGGAAUUGAUCCCUGGUGGAAAAACAAUGGCUGAAAUUAUUUCUGAGACAAUGACUGAUGUGAAAUCUGAGAAUCUCAGCAAACAAAAGAUGAUGGCAGUGACCCAAGUUACAGGAGGUGGUGGUGGAGGGAAAGUCUCCGCUGGCAAGAAUUUGCUUGACCGAGUAGAAAUGCAAAGCAGAGGUUUGGAAAUGGGGUCAGCUGACAAGGGAAACUUUGCAGAAUCAACUGCAAAUCAGAUACCAGAAGAUGUGCUUCGCAUUUUCAUGAUGAAGGAGUUUAUGGGCAGGCGUUUUGCUGAUGACUUGAUACUUCCUCAGAUUAAGCAUGGCAUCAAAACCAAGUAAAUGGCUGCAAUAAGGUCUUUGAUCAUUAAAAGUAAAGCUUUGGUCUUUCCUACUGAUGGAGGAAUAUGCUUUGCUGAUUUCUGUAGUCUACUCUAGUGUGUUUCAGCAAUAUAUAAAUAGUACUAGUAGUUUUUUCUUGAAAAAACAAUUUGGGUGAAAGCUGGAGUUUAGAGUUUGAAGCUUGGGGAAAACGAGAAGUUAGGGAUUGAAGGCAUAGUUUGAGCUUUUUCAGCCUCCACUUCAGCCAUCUUUGCCUGCUAAGCCCAUCCAGCCUUUCUGGUAGCUAGAAGAGCAUUGGCUUCAGCAACAUCAGCCUCCCUUUGAUUCUCAGCAAAAGGUUAGAGAGCUUGAGAGAAGAUUAACUGAAGAGCAGGAACAUGACUUAAGGCUAUUUCACUUCGUCAGAAGGUGACGCUUACUCUCUUUCAUAUGUUUCUUCCACAAAGAAUAUUAGAAAGUAUGUGUACAAAAAACCAAACUAAGAUACCCAAACUAAUUCGAAGUAUCUAUGUAAAAUAAUUUUGUGUUCUACCAAUUGAAAGAUAUUAGAGGGAUGAUAUUGGAAUUGCGUUAGUGUAGAUGCAAAUAAUGUUGGGAACACAGGGCUUGCUAGCAUUAUUCAUACUUUUCUUGUAGCAUAGUUGGUCAAACACAUAACUUCAUGCCAAACAUCUUAAUUUUAGAAGUUAGACAUGAUAAUAUAUUGAAGAAUAGCUAAAUCCAAAUUAAACUCAAACUUGCUAGACUAUUGUCUACUGCUUUAGUGCCUAAACGAGUCAGAUUUUGUCCACAAAGUGCAUUUCCAAAUAAUGUUGGACAUUUUUAGACUAACUCGGGGCACUAAAUAGUUAUAAUAGUAUUAAAGCAGUACCUAGUUUUAAUUGCAGCAAAUGAUGUGAAAAUUUUAAUAACUGGAUUUGUCAAACAUUUGUGCUUGUUAGGGUUUUUUUUUUUUUUUUUUUUUUAUAGUCUAAGUAAUCAAUGGUUGAAUGUUCUUGCACUUGAUUAAUUUUGUUGAAGAAACUCUCUACUUUGCAAUGAUGUCUACUAUUUUCUAACAUUUUUUAGUUUGACAAUGGCAGUAGUAGCAUAAAAAAUAGUAGCAACCUCAUUAGCAUCUAGAUUCAAGGUUAGUAUUUCAAUUUUUUCCGUACUUUUAUGCUAUGCAGUGGGCUAUAAUUGUGAAGUAUGCAUAUUUUUGGCUUCUUCAAUUUUUGUUAAUGCUUAGAUAAGCUUGAAUAGGCUUGUAUGAUUUGACCUUCUGCUUGAUAGCAUGUAAUGAACAAAAUAAGCUCAGUUGUUCGCUAUUUUGGUCUAUGAUGUUGUGUUUAAAAUUUUCCAACCUAAUAUUAUUCUGCUUAUCCAUAAAAUGGUUGUGUAGUUAAGUACUAGAGCACCACACUCUAUUCUUAUGUUCUGGAUUUGUAACUCUAUGACAUGGACAAAAAUUGGAUGACACUUGAUAAUAGAAAGGAUGAGUCUUAGAAACUUGCAGUGGCUACUUUCCUUAAAUUUGCAUAUUCUUAGAAGGCAAAACAUGAAAUUCUGACAUGAAAUUGAGAAGGAUAUUAAUCAAGAUGGGGAUGAAAAAAGGGGUAGUGAUAUUGAAAAUUUAAAUGAUAUGUUCAAUGACAUAGGCACUGCACAAUGGAGGGGGGAGGGAAUUGGUUCAAUCGGGAAGAACAUAGUGGAGAGAGGUUGAAUAUGAAUGAAAGUAAAAUUGAUACCUUCAUAUGAUUGUUGGAAAAUGCAAAACAAGAGCUCUAUCCAGGCAACCAGUUUUCCUCCAAGCUGAUUAAGAACUUGCAGGAGCAGCAACUUGAAAUAAGAGGGCUAUAUGAGAAUUUGAUUGCCCAAAUGAAAGAGUCACUUAAGACAGUUUAUGCUGUCGCUUAAGGGAGCUUAGCUGUCACUUGCUUAUGUUUUGAAUUUGCUGGCUAUGCAAAUAUGUCUAAUAAAUAAGCUAUUGGAAAUAAUUAAUGAUGUUCUCUUUAUUUUGGUUGAAACUCUAUUUUGACUGAUUCUUUUACUUCUUAUCAAGUUGCCAGUAGUUGGAGUCUUGUUGUGUAUGACUAUUCAUUCAAAUUUAGUCGUAAAAUGUUGUAAUAGCAUAUUUUUUGACUAAAGUCUAUUCUUAUGCAUAUAAUACUUUAUUUUCAAUGCAGUCCAAUUUGAUAUUGAUCAUGAGGAGGCCGUUGGAUAUGAUGAUAAAGAUGGUUGAAGUCUGACAUUAGUGGUGCAAUCUAUGCUUUAGCCUAGAAAUCUAGUACUCUAUUUUUUUGGGAAGGAUAUGUAUUAGCCAUUGAUGCUUGAACUGUGGGCUUUGGGACCCAAUAUUUUUGGUUGACUUCUAGUUCGAUGAAUUUAUAGAUGUUUGUGGCCCUAUAUAUAUUAAUUUGUGACUUCAUUCUACAUUAA